RNAcentral lists this ribosomal RNA (497 nucleotides) under uncultured bacterium. RNAcentral describes it as "partial 16S ribosomal RNA". It matches the Rfam family "Bacterial small subunit ribosomal RNA", at positions 28 to 507 of the family's 1533-position model. The record is from RNAcentral.
GAUGAACGCUGGCGGCGUGCCUAAUACAUGCAAGUCGAGCGAACGGACGAGAAGCUUGCUUUUCUGAUGUUAGCGGCGGACGGGUGAGUAACACGUGGAUAACCUACCUAUAAGACUGGGAUAACUUCGGGAAACCGGAGCUAAUACCGGAUAAUAUUUUGAACCGCAUGGUUCAAAAGUGAAAGACGGUCUUGCUGUCACUUAUAGAUGGAUCCGCGCUGCAUUAGCUAGUUGGUAAGGUAACGGCUUACCAAGGCAACGAUGCGUAGCCGACCUGAGAGGGGGAUCGGCCACACGGGAGCGGAGCCACGGUCAAGACUCCUACGGGAGGCAGCAGUAGGGAAUCUUCCGCAAUGGGCGAAAGCCUGACGGAGCAACGCCGCGUGAGUGAUGAAGGUCUUCGGAUCGUAAAACUCUGUUAUUAGGGAAGAACAUAUGUGUAAGUAACUGUGCACAUCUUGACGGUACCUAAUCAGAAAGCCACGGCUAACUACGUG